AAUCUAGUAAGUUGGUAUUGAAAUUAUACAGGUACUAUUUUUGUGAAGUUAUGAUUGAAAAAAUCAAUACCGAUUAAUGUUUAUUUAAACAAAUGGUUUUAAAUUGCUCUAACCAAUAUUUACUUGGAUAUAUACUUUUACCUUGUACUAAAACAUAUCUAGAUUUUUUUCAACACCUUUGAAAUUUUUUUGGUUGUACACAAAUUGUAUAAUAGGUUCAAUUUGGUGUAUUUUACUCGUUGGCCUUUGAUAUAAAUUUAAUUUUUGAGUGGUUGAUAUGAAUUUCAUUCUUAAAAAUUUGGAAGAAUAUAUACUUAGAAAAUUUGAUUUAUAUAAAUUGUGGACAUCAUUUUCAGCAAAAUAUUUUAAUUUAUAGUAAAUUUACCAAAUACAUUUUAUUCUCAGUCCAAUAUUUGGCAGACAUACUCUUGACUAAUAAUAGAACCCAAUUUUUUUUCAUACAUUUAAUUAUUAUAAAUUUGUAUUUUACCUACUAGUUGAAAAACUAUGAUAUCUAAACAAUUAUUACAUGAAAAAAAAAAAUGAAUAAUAAAUACCUUAACAAUGAUAUAAAAAAAAUCAAAUUAUAAAGUGAGCUUCCAGGAUAAAAGCGAUUAUAAGUUUAGUAGUGGUUUUGGAUUUAGUAUUAAGAAUGGAUGGAAUAUUGAAGGGGAUAUUAAGUGUUGAGGGAAUUAAGACGUCCGGUCUGCAGAGCAGGGCAAAUAAAUAAAUUCUAGAAAAAGUCAUAGAUACAUUCUUUAAGAUAGAGAAUACAGAAUGGAGAAUAUAGUUAUAAAAAUAAUACAUUUCAAACUUAAAAUUAUUUAAUAGUUAUUAUUUCUGAAUCAUCUUUAUUUUACACAGAACUCCAAAGUUUAAACUAUGAGUUAUAUUAAGAUUUAUAAAAUACAUUUUGGUGAUUGAAUUACCAUUUUUGAAAAAUGUAUUAUCUGCCUAUUAAUGAGACUUACAAAUUUUGAAAUUAAUUAUCUGUACUUAAUAUAUAUUAAUGUAUUGGGAAUUAAACUGUCAAAACAUUUAUUAAUUAUUAGUAAAUAUAUUUUGUACUUGAUUUGGAAGAUUAAAACGAAAACAACAAUAACAAAUUCAAUUUUCUAGGUUUUACAUUUAUACAAC
Molecule: non-coding RNA, 1137 nt
Organism: Cinara cedri
Lineage: Eukaryota; Metazoa; Arthropoda; Insecta; Hemiptera; Aphididae
Source: the annotation of a GenBank genome assembly